Molecule: ribosomal RNA, 496 nt
Filed under: uncultured bacterium
Lineage: Bacteria
Description: bacterial SSU rRNA
Rfam family: Bacterial small subunit ribosomal RNA
Source: RNAcentral
AAUCAACGCUGGCGGCGUGCCUCAGACAUGCAAGUCGAACGCGAAAGUCCCCUUCGGGGGGCAAGUAGAGUGGCGCACGGGUGAGUAACACGUAGGUAAUCUACCUUUGGAUUGGGAAUAACCACCGGAAACGGUGGCUAAUACCGAAUAAUGCAGCGGCACCUAAUGGUGACAGUUGUUAAAGCGGGGGAUCGCAAGACCUCGCGUCUGAAGAGGAGCCUGCGGCAGAUUAGCUAGUUGGUAAGGUAACGGCUUACCAAGGCGAUGAUCUGUAGCCGGCCUGAGAGGGCGGUCGGCCACACUGACACUGACAUACGGGUCAGACUCCUACGGGAGGCAGCAGUCGGGAAUUUUGGGCAAUGGGCGAAAGCCUGACCCAGCAACGCCGCGUGAAGGAUGAAAUCCUUCGGGAUGUAAACUUCGCAAGAACGGGAAGAAUAAGUAAGGGUUAAUAUCUCUUACGAUGACGGUACUGUUUGUAAGCUCCGGCUAAUCC